This 500-nucleotide ribosomal RNA is filed under the name uncultured Glomeromycotina. RNAcentral describes it as "partial small subunit ribosomal RNA". It matches the Rfam family "Eukaryotic small subunit ribosomal RNA", at positions 591 to 1092 of the family's 1831-position model. Lineage: Eukaryota; Fungi; Glomeromycota. The record is from RNAcentral.
CCAAUAGCGUAUAUUAAAGUUGUUGCAGUUAAAAAGCUCGUAGUUGAAUUUCGGGGCCAGUAGGUUGGUCGUGCCACUGGUAUGUACUGGCCUUACUGGUCCCUCCUUCUUGUAGAACCGUGAUGCCAUUAAUUUGGUGUUGCGGGGAAACAGGACUGUUACUUUGAAAAAAUUAGAGUGCUUAAAGCAGGCUCGCGCUUGAAUACAUUAGCAUGGAAUAACGGAAUAGGACGAUCGAACCUAUUUUGUUGGUUUCUAGGAUCGACGUAAUGAUUAAUAGGGAUAGUUGGGGGCAUUAGUAUUCAAUUGUCAGAGGUGAAAUUCUUGGAUUUAUUGAAGACUAACUACUGCGAAAGCAUUUGCCAAGGAUGUUUUCAUUAAUCAAGAACGAAAGUUAGGGGAUUGAAGACGAUCAGAUACCGUCGUAGUCUUAACCAUAAACUAUGCCGACUAGGGAUCGGAUGAAGUUAAUUUUUUAAUGACUCAUUCGGCGCCUUACG